AGCAGUGUGGCUUAGUGGAAAGAGCACGGGCUUAGGGGGUCAGAGGACGUGGGUUCUAAUCCCAGCUCCGCCA
This 73-nucleotide transfer RNA is filed under the name Ornithorhynchus anatinus (platypus). It matches the Rfam family "tRNA". Rfam says of the family: Transfer RNA (tRNA) molecules are approximately 80 nucleotides in length. The record is from Rfam by way of RNAcentral. Lineage: Eukaryota; Metazoa; Chordata; Mammalia; Monotremata; Ornithorhynchidae.